Molecule: ribosomal RNA, 465 nt
Filed under: uncultured bacterium
Lineage: Bacteria
Description: partial 16S ribosomal RNA
Rfam family: Bacterial small subunit ribosomal RNA
Source: RNAcentral
GACGAACGCUGGCGGCGUGCUUAACACAUGCAAGUCGAACGGAAAGGCCCUGCUUGCAGGGUACUCGAGUGGCGAACGGGUGAGUAACACGUGGGUGAUCUGCCCUGCACUUCGGGAUAAGCCUGGGAAACUGGGUCUAAUACCGGAUAGGAGCCAUUUUUAGUGUGAUGGUUGGAAAGUUUUUUCGGUGUAGGAUGAGCUCGCGGCCUAUCAGCUUGUUGGUGGGGUAAUGGCCUACCAAGGCGGCGACGGGUAGCCGGCCUGAGAGGGUGGACGGCCACAUUGGGACUGAGAGACGGCCCAGACGCCUACGGGAGGCAGCAGUGGGGAAUAUUGCACAAGGGGCGCAAGCCUGAUGCAGCGAGGCCGCGUGGGGGAUGACGGCCUUCGGGUUGUAAACUCCUUUCGCUAGGGACGAAGCUUGUUGUGACGUUACCUAGAGAAGAAGCACCGGCUAACUACGUG